Peromyscus leucopus (white-footed mouse) is the source of this 311-nucleotide long non-coding RNA. RefSeq lists it as uncharacterized. The transcript has 3 exons. The record is from RefSeq and is a predicted model, not a curated record. NCBI's taxonomy places the organism in Eukaryota, Metazoa, Chordata, Mammalia, Rodentia, Cricetidae.
GGGAAGGCCGCGCUCCAAGAAUGGCCUGGCCUCCCAGGGCGGGCACAGAGCGGUGACCUCGGGGCCUGCGCACAAAGCUCUGCUUUCCAGAGAUACCAACUUCCUCCAGGAGAUUAACCGCAAACAGGAAGUUGCCCCUCCAGGGACUAAACUGAAAGCCAAGUGUCAGUUUUCAGUUUAAGAGACCUGUCCUGGGUGCUGUUUCCUCAUACUCUGGUGAGUGAUGGGCUACAGGGAAAGCUGCAAACUGAUCAGGGCUCUUCCUCCUCCUUCCUUUCAUCGAAGCUGCUCUUUGUUCGUGGAAGAAAUGA